Molecule: long non-coding RNA, 3953 nt
Organism: Osmerus eperlanus (European smelt)
Lineage: Eukaryota; Metazoa; Chordata; Actinopteri; Osmeriformes; Osmeridae
Exons: 2
Source: RefSeq, a predicted model, not a curated record
CCAUUGAAUCCAGCUUCAUUGUUGCCCAACCCUGAUGAUGGUGAACCACAUGACUGUGAGAUGGUUGUCGAUAAAGUGCUAACACCCAGACCUGAUAUGUUUGACAAACCUAUGGAUAAUGCUGAACUUGUGUUGUACGUAGAUGGAUCUUUGUCCCGAGAAUGGGAUGGCUCUCUAAACUCCGGAUAUGCGGUCUGCACGGACAGUGAGACAUUCAAAUCUGGUAAACUGUCUCCACAAUGCACUGCACAGCAGGCAGAGUUUUGCUUUGACAAGGGCAUGUUGUUUGUCAGAAGGCAAGGUCGUAAAUAUUCACACUGACUCGAGGUAUGGAUUUGGAGUUACUCACGAUUUUGGUGCCAUAUGGCGAGAAAGAGGUUUCAUUAACUCCUCAGGUGGAGCAAUCAAGAAUGGAAAGAUGAUUGAUAAUUUGUUUGUGAGGCUCAUACUAACAAUACAGAUGAUGUUUCAAGAGGAAAUGCUAGAGCUGAUUUAGCAGCAAAGGCUGCGGCCAACUCCUCUGAUGUGUCCCAGGUCUCUAUUUGUUUGUGUCUCAGCAACCGGAAACACGCACUCCCUCUCUUCAUGUUGUGGCGGACCUUUGAGCCGCUGCUGAUAACACUGAGAGGGAUGGUUGGUUAUCCAUGGCCGUGUGAAAGAUCCAACUUCGGCAGUGUGGAGCCACCCCGACGGCCGCGUGGUGGCGCCACGUGCAUUGUUCCCUUGGUUGGCUCGCAUGGCGCACGGCUGUGCCCAUACGAGCAAGGGGGGUAUGGUCUCAAUAGUAAAUACUGAUUGGUUUGCACCUGGUUUUUCCACAAAGGCUGAGCAACAUUGUGCUCAGUGUCAUACCUGCCAGCAGCAUAAUCCCGGAAAGGGACCAAAGAGAAGAGACGCAGCCCACCCGCCACCAAGUGGUCCUUUUAUGCAUUUACAAAUUGAUUUUAUUCAGAUGAACAAGUGUUGUAAUUUUGAGUAUGUACUUGUAAUUGUUGACAUGUUCUCGAAAUGGGUAGAAGCCUACCCAUGUCGGAAAGCUGAUGCUACCACGGUAGCCAAGAUUCUCAUUAGAGAUGUGAUCUGUAGAUAUGGGAUCCUCACAAGACUGUCCAGUGAUAGAGGUUCACAUUUUACGGAUCAAAUUGUUCAGGAACUUUGUAAAGCGCUCCAGAUCAACCAGCAUUUUCACUGUCCCUACCACCCACAGUCUGCAGGGGCAGUGGAGAGGCAAAAUGGAACUUUGAAAAACAAACUAGCCAAGAUAUGUGAAGAGACUGGCCUAAAAUGGCCUGAUGCACUCCCACUAGCUCAUAUGGCCAUGAGCCCAGAGGAGGAAUGGACUUUCCCCACACAAGAUAGUUUUAGGGAGACCAAUGAAAUUGCCUGUCUCUCCCCCACUAUCAUUGAAACAGAUGGAUAUCCACCAGAUGGAUGAUACAAUGUUAAACUUUUGUUUUGCCCUAACUAGAGCAACCAGGGUUGUGCAUUCACAGGUGAAAGCUGCCCGCUGGGGAGCCAUGUCAUCCCUAUCAACCGGGAGACUAUGUGAAAGUGCACAAACGGAGGACUGCCCUCUCACCAAGAUGGACCGGUCCAUACCUGGUUUUCUCUUGGUGACUCACACAGCUGUAAAGGUGGAGGGUCCCAACGGAGAGCCAGGGGUCGGUGGAGGAGCAGGUGCACCUCCAAAUGGUGCCUGCUCCAACUUGUCAUUUGUCUCAUCCCCACUGGGUUACUCCUCCAGGAGUACACCAAGGGGGGUGGAGACCCGUUUGCAGCGGCUGAUCCGGGAGCAGGCUCCAGUCCAGCUGACCGAUUUGAGCCAAAACCAGGAUCCCGCCAUCCAGCACUCCAAUCCAGGGGUGCUGAGAAGGAGGUCCCAAAGAGCACCCACCCGGAGGUGUUGAAGACGUCGAAAGGUGAGUCACAUGAGGAGAAAGCCAGAGAGGGGCUGCUGUUGCUACCGUGCCUCUCUCCCCCAUGUGUGAUUCAUGAAGCAGAUGACAGCACCCAGACGGGAAACCAGAGAGAGGAGCCUGGAGAGGGGAAGACACUUUCAGUCUUCCUCCGGCCUCUACAUGAAGCAGAUGACAGCACCCAGAAUGGGGACGAGAGGAUACUGUGGUGGAGGCCUUCGGUUGUUUCAAGGAAACCGAGGCCGCUGCCGGAGCUACGAUGAGAGAUGAGAUCCAGACAUACUGACGCACACACCUGACAGACAUUUACUGAUACUGGACGCACGAGUCCACAGACAUCGCAUACAUGAGCCACACCGAGAGUCACUAUUGCACGCUCCCAAUUAUACUGAUGUGAACAUUGAGAUUCAUCAUAAAGCACACAUGAAGAACAAUCUGUGCAACAACACCUUUCCGUGGACGGGAAAAAAUGACUGGACGCAGCAUUAGAGGGGACAGACCUUGCAGGGUUUGUGGUUAGAGUCCCAAGCAUUCUGGAGGUUAUCCAGGGAUAUAUGUCCCUCUGUCAAUGGCUGAUAUGUGUAAGGUCAAGAAGUGGCCUUGUGUAGGGUUGGAUGUAACAAAUGUGACUGUUCUGUCGAACAAGUCAGUCAUCUCUUGAAUAUGCCCCACCUGCAUUGUUUUGUGUAUGGCAUAGUGGUACAGUGAGAGUGAAAAAAUACAUGCAAGGAUACGGUUUCUAUGUAUGCUCACACUCUACUGGAUGAUUUGUAAGUUCAAUUGUAUCUGAGUUCAAUGUUACUUGUCCUGUAUACCAUUUGGGCGGGUGACAUAAAUUCCUGAUGUUGCUGACUAUGCUAUUCCUACACUUUUAGCAUACUACAGAAGAUGUAGUAUAUGGUUGAUUAAAUCUUUAAAUAAUUAUGGGAAUGUAUUUGGUAAAAAUACAUGUAACCACACUGUGGUAUGUAUGCUAACAGCCUGUUGCAUGAUUUGCCUGUUGCAGAUGGACCUGUAAGUAUAAGGGCAUCACCAUUUUGGUCUCGUCGUGCAGCUAACAAUGGCACCAUGUGGGUAUGUGUUAAGAGUGCUUAUUAUUUCCUGCCGGCCGUCUGGUCAGGAACGUGUUACCUUGGGUUUAUUGUAGGAGCCCUCAGACCUGUAGAUGGGUUGCCCCUGCACCCUUUUCCCAAACAUUGGUGGCACCGCCACAAGAGAAGUAUUAUUAAUGCAGAUGCUAAGAAGCUGGGAUCACAUCACGUGGAUUCAAUAGUACUCAGUCACUUUUCACGUUUUCAGUUGCCAUUCUCCCUGUGUAUGGUGUUAUCACUGCCUUUAGAGAUAUUAGGAGCUUAGCAGUAGGGUUGGAGUCCAUUGGUAAUGAGACAGCCGACGCCUUAACUGCAGUUGCGUCUGAGAUGAAGGCCAUGAGGCAGGUAGUGCUCCAGAACCGUAUGGCACUGGAUUAUCUGUUGUCAGCUCAGGGAGGUAGCUGUGCUGUGAUAGGUCAUGACUGUUGUACUUUUAUCCACGAUGAAUCUGCUAAUAUCACAAGUAUGGCUGCUUACAUUAAAACAUAAUGUCAGCUUUGGGGGAACCUGAAGCUAGAAAUUGUGCUGACUGACCUCCUCUGUUCGGGGUUUCUUUUUCGACUAUCAUUCAAAUAGGAAUCACUGGAUUGGGCAUGUUAAUCGUUGUUGUGCUGAUUGUGGUUUGCGCUUGGAAGAUGUGUACUGCCUGCUGUGUACAGUGCUGUGCAGUAGGUUUUCGUAAGGCUGCCAGUAAGAUUAUGGUAGCCCAAAUCAAGCCACAGACAAAAGCAAGCAAGACUGAUGAUAACUUUAUUGCCCUGGGAAUGACUGAAAUGUCUGAUAUGUAAUCUCAAGUACCAAGUGACUAUUUUGCCAAUGUAAUAAAGAUGGCCAUUUGCCUCCUUCUAUUUUCCAACUGAUAUACAAUGCUGUAUGCAAUGUGAAUAGAUCUGUCCUUGACCACAGAUCAGUUAACAAUAAUUAAAGAUGGUUACUUUAUUACUUU